RNAcentral lists this ribosomal RNA (479 nucleotides) under uncultured bacterium. RNAcentral's name for it is "bacterial SSU rRNA". It matches the Rfam family "Bacterial small subunit ribosomal RNA", at positions 29 to 507 of the family's 1533-position model. The record is from RNAcentral.
AUGAACGCUAGCGGGAGGCCUAAUACAUGCAAGUCGAGCGGUAGAGUGACUUCGGUUGCUUGAGAGCGGCGAACGGGUGAGUAACGCGUACACAAUCUACCUUUAAGAGGGGAAUAGCCCUGGGAAACUGGGAUUAAUGCCCCAUGGCAUCACGAAGUGGCAUCGCUUUGUGAUUAAAGCUGAGGUGCUUAGAGAUGAGUGUGCGUCUGAUUAGCUAGUUGGUGCGGUAACGGCGCACCAAGGCGACGAUCAGUAGGGGGCGUGAGAGCGUGGACCCCCACACGGGUACUGAGACACGGACCCGACUCCUACGGGAGGCAGCAGUAAGGAAUAUUGGUCAAUGGAGGAAACUCUGAACCAGCCAUCCCGCGUGCAGGAAGAAUGCCCUAUGGGUUGUAAACUGCUUUUAUCUGGGAAGAAAAGUCGGCAUUUAUGCUGAUCUGACGGUACCAGAGGAAUAAGCACCGGCUAACUCCGUG